GAUCAUGGCUCAGAUUGAACGCUGGCGGAACGCUUUACACAUGCAAGUCGAACGGUAACGUGGGGAGGAGCUUGCUCCACCCCGACGACGAGUGGCGAACGGGUGAGUAAUACAUCGGAACGUGUCCGCUCGUGGGGGACAACCAGCCGAAAGGUUGGCUAAUACCGCAUGAGUUCUACGGAAGAAAGAGUCGGGGACCCGCGAAGGGCCUCUCGCGAGCGGAGCGGCCGAUGACUGAUUACGCCGGUUGGUGAA
Molecule: ribosomal RNA, 255 nt
Filed under: uncultured bacterium
Lineage: Bacteria
Description: partial 16S ribosomal RNA
Rfam family: Bacterial small subunit ribosomal RNA
Source: RNAcentral